This is a long non-coding RNA of Drosophila busckii, 879 nucleotides long. RefSeq lists it as uncharacterized. The record is from RefSeq and is a predicted model, not a curated record. NCBI's taxonomy places the organism in Eukaryota, Metazoa, Arthropoda, Insecta, Diptera, Drosophilidae. The transcript is spliced from 11 exons.
CAGUGAAGACGUGAUUCUGAGUGUCUCAAAUUUGGGGCACAUUUAUUAAAAAUUUAAUGAAAUAUAAUAAAAUGACGGUGCUACAAAAAAAUAUAAACAAUUUCAAUAACUAUAAGGCAAAGAAGAGUUAAUAAAAGUACAGGAUGCCAAUGGAAUUGGAAGAUUUAAACUACACACGUGGCUUGCAAAUGCCGGCACUUGCACUAUGGAGCACCCCUUAUGCUGAUCUACAAGUUCGUACAUAUUCCUCAUGGCAUAGCGACACUUGAAACUUAAGCAUGCAGCAAAAUGGGAUGAACUAUCUUCUUUUAUUGCGCUUCUACAAGCUCAAGUUCAACAAUGAAUAUUAAAGUCUGCUGCGCAACGAGUUGUGAUUUCCAUUUUACAGUUUGAUUCAAUGGACUUCUGAGCAUUUAUCUAACAGCCGAGGGUAUUAAGACUGAACUGAAGUGAAAAUCGCACUAUUAAUGGGAGAGCACUUUUAAUUACACAAAAGGUAUGUUUCAAACCGAUAUAUGACUGUUGUGUUGAUUGAGGUGAUGAACAAUCCUUUAUCAGGAUCCCUCUACUGAGUAGAACCCAUUAAAAACCAUGCGGUCAAUCUUACAACGUCUGAUUACAAACUUGCAAUGCAUUAUUUAAUAAUGUUUAAGAACGAAACUGAUAGAAAAAUUUAAUUUGCAGUGGUUGAAUGUACUACAAAAUACUCUCCGCAUCGAUUUGGAUUAUAGGAUAAAAGCUUGUGAAACUGCUUGGUUUGACUGUUUCUGGUGUUCAAACAAUUAUUAAGAUACGAUGCAGUUAACACUGAAGAACUUAGUGAUAUAUGCAAGCUUUUUCUAAAGUUUGGACCACUGGCUUUAUUAAAAAAAUUCACAU